UGAUUUCAAUUUUGUGUUUUUUAUUAGUUGGGUAAUGAUUUCAGUUUCUGCUUGAAAUCUUAGAUUUUGCCUUCAAAGGCUUGCGAAGAAAGUAGAAAAUUUCCAGGGAAUAAGUUAUUCAAAGCUUGCGAAUUUACCACCUAUAGUCGGCCUCUACUCAAGCUUUGUGGGAUGCAGAUUUUUAUGUGAAGACAAAGUCAUAUUUUCCUGUUGCUGUUGCUUCAAUGUGUUACAACUUUUAAAUUCCCAAUCGGGGUAGAACUUCAGAUGCCCAUGUUCAUAUGAACCUCUAAAUUCAAA
Molecule: non-coding RNA, 300 nt
Organism: Camellia sinensis
Lineage: Eukaryota; Viridiplantae; Streptophyta; Magnoliopsida; Ericales; Theaceae
Source: RefSeq, a predicted model, not a curated record